RNAcentral lists this ribosomal RNA (103 nucleotides) under Escherichia coli. RNAcentral describes it as "partial 16S ribosomal RNA". The record is from RNAcentral. Lineage: Bacteria; Pseudomonadati; Pseudomonadota; Gammaproteobacteria; Enterobacterales; Enterobacteriaceae.
UUAAAUUGAAGAGUUUGAUCAUGGCUCAGAUUGAACGCUGGCGGCAGGCCUAACACAUGCAAGUCGAACGGUAACAGGAAAAAGCUUGCAGCUUGCUUCUUUG